RNAcentral lists this ribosomal RNA (494 nucleotides) under uncultured bacterium. RNAcentral's name for it is "bacterial SSU rRNA". It matches the Rfam family "Bacterial small subunit ribosomal RNA", at positions 28 to 521 of the family's 1533-position model. The record is from RNAcentral.
GAUGAACGCUGGCGGCGUGCUUAACACAUGCAAGUCGAGCGAGAAGUUUUAAACGGAUUCUUCGGAUGAAAGAUAAAACGGAAAGCGGCGGACGGGUGAGUAACGCGUAGGCAACCUGCCUCAUACAAAGGGAUAGCAUCUGGAAACGGAUAUUAAUACCUUAUAAUACCUUAGGUUCACAUGGACCAUAGGUCAAAGAUUUAUCGGUAUGAGAUGGGCCUGCGUCUGAUUAGCUAGUUGGUAGGGUAACGGCCUACCAAGGCGACGAUCAGUAGCCGACCUGAGAGGGUGAUCGGCCACACUGGAACUGAGACACGGUCCAGACUCCUACGGGAGGCAGCAGUGGGGAAUAUUGCACAAUGGGCGCAAGCCUGAUGCAGCAACGCCGCGUGAGUGAUGAAGGCCUUAGGGUCGUAAAACUCUGUCCUAAGGGAAGAAUAAAUGACGGUACCUUAGGAGGAAGCCCCGGCUAACUACGUGCCAGCAGCCGCGGU